UAGCUCCUUCGGGAGUGUUAUAGCCCGCGGCGCCAUGCCUCUGGGGGGGCCGAGGACCGCGCCUUCGGGCAAGGAUGCUGGCGUAAUGGCCACCAGCGACCCGUCUUGAAACACGGACCAAGGAGUCAAGCAUUGGGGCGAGUGUUUGGGUGACAAACCCGCACGCGAAAUGAAAGUGAACGCAGGUGGGAGCCUUCGGGCGCACCACCGACCGAUCCUGAUGUUUUCGGAUGGAUUUGAGUAGGAGCCUUGCCGCUUGGACCCGAAAGAUGGUGAACUAUGCCUGUAUAGGGUGAAGCCAGAGGAAACUCUGGUGGAGGCUCGCAGCGGUUCUGACGUGCAAAUCGAUCGUCAAAUAUGGGCAUGGGGCGAAAGACUAAUCGAACC
This 387-nucleotide ribosomal RNA is filed under the name Raffaelea xyleborini. RNAcentral describes it as "partial large subunit ribosomal RNA". It matches the Rfam family "Eukaryotic large subunit ribosomal RNA", at positions 549 to 941 of the family's 3401-position model. The record is from RNAcentral. Lineage: Eukaryota; Fungi; Ascomycota; Sordariomycetes; Ophiostomatales; Ophiostomataceae.